Molecule: ribosomal RNA, 513 nt
Filed under: uncultured Pseudomonadota bacterium
Lineage: Bacteria; Pseudomonadati; Pseudomonadota
Description: bacterial SSU rRNA
Rfam family: Bacterial small subunit ribosomal RNA
Source: RNAcentral
GCCAUUCCGCGUGAGUGAAGAAGGCCUUCGGGUUGUAAAGCUCUUUCGGCAGGGAAGAAAUCGCUAGGGGGUAAUAUCCUUGGCGGAUGACGGUACCUGAAGAAGAAGCACCGGCUAACUACGUGCCAGCAGCCGCGGUAAUACGUAGGGUGCGAGCGUUAAUCGGAAUUACUGGGCGUAAAGCGUGCGCAGGCGGUUUUUUAAGCCAGAUGUGAAAGCCCCGGGCUCAACCUGGGAACUGCGUUUGGAACUGAAAGACUAGAGUGUGUCAGAGGGAGGUGGAAUUCCACGUGUAGCAGUGAAAUGCGUAGAUAUGUGGAGGAACACCGAUGGCGAAGGCAGCCUCCUGGGAUAACACUGACGCUCAUGCACGAAAGCGUGGGGAGCAAACAGGAUUAGAUACCCUGGUAGUCCACGCCCUAAACGAUGUCAACUGGUUGUUGGGGAAGCAAUUCCUUAGUGACGAAGCUAACGCGAGAAGUUGACCGCCUGGGGAGUACGGUCGCAAGAUUA